Molecule: transfer RNA, 38 nt
Filed under: Physcomitrium sphaericum
Lineage: Eukaryota; Viridiplantae; Streptophyta; Bryopsida; Funariales; Funariaceae
Description: partial tRNA-Gly
Source: RNAcentral
AGCGGAAAAAGGGACUUGAACCCUCAACCUCAGCCCUU